Molecule: long non-coding RNA, 324 nt
Filed under: Pan troglodytes (chimpanzee)
Lineage: Eukaryota; Metazoa; Chordata; Mammalia; Primates; Hominidae
Description: long non-coding RNA NONPTRT008932
Source: RNAcentral
UCCAAAUUUUGUCCUUGUGAUUCAGCUCAAAUGCCAUCUCCUCCAGGAAGCCUUCCCUGCUCUUAUCUGGUAAGCAUUUGAGUACCUAUAGUGCCCAUAGUCCACCACUGGAGGAGACACCUUGUUUUUGUUUUGUUUUGUUUUGUUUUUUGAUGUACCUCAGCCUUCCUAGUAGCUGGGAUGACAGGUGCACGCCACCAUGUUCAUCUAAUUUUUUGUAUUUUUAGUAGAGACGGGGUUUUACCGUGUUGGCCGGGCUGCUCUCAAACUCCUGACCUCAGGUAAUCCACCCACCUCGGCCUCCCAAAGCACUGGGAUUACAGG